CUACGGGCCGCUGCAGUCGAGAAUCUUCCGCAAUGGGCGAAAGCCUGACGGAGCGAUGCCGCGUGAGGGAUGACGGCCUUCGGGUUGUAAACCUCUGUCACCCGGGACGAAGGACGUGACGGUACCGGGAGAGGAAGCCACGGCUAACUACGUGCCAGCAGCCGCGGUAAUACGUAGGUGGCGAGCGUUAUUCGGAUUCACUGGGCGUAAAGGGUCCGCAGGGGGUUUGCCAAGUCCGAUGUGAAAUCCCGUGGCUCAACUGCGGAAUGGCAUUGGAAACUGGCGAGCUAGAGUUCACGAGGGGUGAGCGGAAUUCCUGGUGUAGCGGUGGAAUGCGUAGAUAUCAGGAAGAACACCGAUGGCGAAGGCGGCUCACUGGCGUGCAACUGACCCUCAUGGACGAAAGCGUGGGGAGCAAACAGGAUUAGAUACCCCGGUAGUC
This 442-nucleotide ribosomal RNA is filed under the name uncultured bacterium. RNAcentral's name for it is "partial 16S ribosomal RNA". It matches the Rfam family "Bacterial small subunit ribosomal RNA", at positions 339 to 795 of the family's 1533-position model. The record is from RNAcentral.